This 253-nucleotide ribosomal RNA is filed under the name uncultured bacterium. Its description in RNAcentral is "partial 16S ribosomal RNA". It matches the Rfam family "Bacterial small subunit ribosomal RNA", at positions 524 to 776 of the family's 1533-position model. The record is from RNAcentral.
UACGUAGGGAGCGAGCGUUAUCCGGAAUUAUUGGGCGUAAAGGGUGCGUAGAUGGUUGAUAUAAGUCUUUUGUAAAAAUGCUAGGCUCAACCUAGUAGGGCAAAAGAUACUGAUGAACUAGAGUACGGCAGAGGCAAGUGGAACUACAUGUGUAGCGGUGGAAUGCGUAGAUAUAUGGAAGAACACCAGUGGCGAAAGCGGCUCUCUGGUCUGUAACUGACGCUGAGGUUCGAAAGCGUGGGUAGCAAACAGG